CCUACGGGCGGCAGCAGUAGGGAAUAUUGGUCAAUGGGCGGAAGCCUGAACCAGCCAUGCCGCGUGAUGGAUGACGGCCUUAGGGUUGUAAACAUCUUUUCUGCUAGAGGAAUAUAGUUCACGCGUGGACAGACGACUGUAUAGUAGGAAUAAGGAUCGGCUAACUCCGUGCCAGCAGCCGCGGUAAUACGGAGGAUUCGAGCGUUAUCCGGAUUUACUGGGUUUAAAGGGUGCGCAGGCGGACUCUUAAGUCAGCGGUGAAAUGUCUGGGCUUACCCUAGGAAUUGCCGUUGAUACUGGGAGUCUUGGAUAAGCAUAAGGACGGCGGAAUGCGUAGUGUAGCGGUGAAAUGCUUAGAUAUUACGUAGAAGACCAAUUGCGAAGGCAGCUGUCUGGGUCUUUAUCGACGCUCAAGCACGAAAGCGUGGGGAGCAAACAGGAUUAGAUACCCUAGUAGUC
RNAcentral lists this ribosomal RNA (459 nucleotides) under uncultured Bacteroidales bacterium. RNAcentral describes it as "bacterial SSU rRNA". It matches the Rfam family "Bacterial small subunit ribosomal RNA", at positions 338 to 795 of the family's 1533-position model. Lineage: Bacteria; Pseudomonadati; Bacteroidota; Bacteroidia; Bacteroidales. The record is from RNAcentral.